GCUCAGAGCGAACGCUGGCGGCGUGCUUACACAUGCAAGUCGCGCGGGAAAGGGACUUUCGGGUUCUGAGUAGAACGGCGAACGGGUGCGUAAGACGCGGGUGACCUAUCCUGGAGGCGGGGAUAACCCUUCGAAAGAGGGGCUAAUACCGGAUGAGCCCACAGGCAGAGAUGCCCGGGGGCAAAGGGUGCAGCUUACUAGGUGCACAUCUUCUGGGCGGGGCCCACGGCCUAUCAGCUAGUUGGUACGGUAACGGCGUACCAAGGCGAAGACGGGUAGCUGGUCUGAGAGGAUGGCCAGCCACACGGGGACUGAGACACGGCCCCGACUCCUACGGGAGGCAGCAGUGGGGAAUAUUGGGCAAUGGGCGCAAGCCUGACCCAGCGACGCCGCGUGGGUGAUGAAGGCCUUCGGGUCGUAAAGCCCUGUCGGGUGGAAAGAAUGGAGGAGGGGCGAAUAGCCUCUCUUCGUGACGGUACCACCGAAGGAAGCACCGGCCAAUUCCGUGCCAGCAGCCGCGGUAAGACGGAAGGUGCAAGCGUUGCUCGGAAUCACUGGGCGUAAAGGGUGCGUAGGCGGCUUGGUAAGUCGGGUGUGAAAGCCCCGGGCUCAGCCCGGGAAGGGCACUAGAAACUGCUGAGCUGGAGUGCUGGAGGGGAGAGUGGAAUUCCUGGUGUAGCGGUGAAAUGCGUAGAUAUCAGGAGGAAUACCGGUGGCGAAAGCGACUCUCUGGACGGCAACUGACGCUGAGGCACGAAAGCGUGGGGAGCAAACAGGAUUAGAUACCCUGGUAGUCCACGCCGUAAACGAUGGGCACUAGGUGUCGGGGGUAUCCACUCCCUCGGUGCCGCCGCUAACGCAUUAAGUGUCCCGCCUGGGAAGUACGGUCGCAAGAUUAAACUCAAAG
RNAcentral lists this ribosomal RNA (907 nucleotides) under uncultured bacterium. RNAcentral's name for it is "bacterial SSU rRNA". It matches the Rfam family "Bacterial small subunit ribosomal RNA", at positions 22 to 906 of the family's 1533-position model. The record is from RNAcentral.